GAUGAACGCUAGCGGGAGGCCUAACACAUGCAAGCCGAGCGGUAUUGUUUCUUCGGAAAUGAGAGAGCGGCGUACGGGUGCGUAACACGUGUGCAACCUGCCUUUAUCUGGGGGAUAGCCUUUCGAAAGGAAGAUUAAUACUCCAUAAUAUAUUGAACGGCAUCGUUUAAUAUUGAAAGCUCCGGCGGAUAGAGAUGGGCACGCGCAAGAUUAGCUAGUUGGUGGGGUAACGGCUCACCAAGGCGAUGAUCUUUAGGGGGCCUGAGAGGGUGAUCCCCAACACUGGUACUGAGACACGGACCAGACUCCUACGGGAGGCAGCAGUGAGGAAUAUUGGUCAAUGGGUGCAAGCCUGAACCAGCCAUCCCGCGUGAAGGACGACUGCCCUAUGGGUUGUAAACUUCUUUUGUAUAGGGAUAACCUACCCUCGUGAGGGUAGCUGAAGGUACUAUACGAAUAAGCACCGGCUAACUCCGUGCCAGCCGCCGCCGUAA
RNAcentral lists this ribosomal RNA (494 nucleotides) under uncultured bacterium. Its description in RNAcentral is "partial 16S ribosomal RNA". It matches the Rfam family "Bacterial small subunit ribosomal RNA", at positions 28 to 523 of the family's 1533-position model. The record is from RNAcentral.